CACAGGUUACCCAGAGAGCUGGUGGAAAUCCCAUUGCUGGACAUACUCAAGGACAGACUGGAUGGGGCUCUGAGCACCUGAUGGAGCUUUAGGUGUUCAAUGCAGGGGAAUUGGACUAGAUGACCUUUAAUGGUCUCUUCCUACUCAAAUGAUUCUAUGAUACUGUGAUUCUAUAAUACAGUAUGAAAUAUUCCUUCUGCCAUCUAAUGGAGUCACCAGUCUUGGAGAUGGUCUUGCCACCAAAAUCCAGGAAUGAAACUUGCCAACCUGAAGGACAGCUGUUUUAAAACUCCAGCUGGUACAAAGACACCGAAACGUAAAGCAAGAUAGGACAAGAAAUUUGGAAUGACAGAAGUGACCACCUACUGACACACGCACUGCGAAAAUCACAGCAUACUGUUUGAAAACAAGCAGUGUCUUUGCAGAGGAGGCCUCACCACCAGCAGCUUCAGCCCAGC
RNAcentral lists this long non-coding RNA (458 nucleotides) under Gallus gallus (chicken). RNAcentral's name for it is "long non-coding RNA NONGGAT011981". The record is from RNAcentral. Lineage: Eukaryota; Metazoa; Chordata; Aves; Galliformes; Phasianidae.